CGCUGCAGCUCUCUGUAUGUAGGGCUAUCAGCCAGCGGUACCUGAAAGCAGGCGCUGGCCUUGCUCUCUCUCUGCCACAGAAUGAUGCUCCAGGGAUAACAAAGGGAAAUACCCGGGAAUGUCAAGUCAAACAAAUUGUAGCUCUCCCUGCUGCCUUCUCUGACCUUGUUCUGAGAACAUGUAGCAUUGGAACAAAGGUGAAUAAGAAGAUGCCUGUUGCAGAAAGGUUUGGCAAAAAAAUGGAGCUGCACAAGUCAUAAAUCGGGGCCACUUGUUGGAGCCUUGAGAACAGAAAAGUACAUCAUGCAUUUAAAACAUGGUCUUGUGCCUGUGAAUCAGUAAAGGAUGUUUAUACAUGAGGAAUGUUCUAAUGCUGUCUGGAAACAGCUGCUAAUGCUGGAUCAGUAUCAGGUUAUUUCCUGGCCUCCCUUCUGUGACCUUUGACCGAGGCUGACCUUUAGCUGGAGAAUGUGACAUUUUGUUCUCCUCUAGCUGACAUGUGAUGCUCUCAUUAUUCAAAGGACUCUUGAAGGAAUGAAAAGGAGGAAGCAAAUGAAAAGGAGAAGGAACUGAUAAUAUAACAUUUCUAAGAAGCCCAUCAAUUCCAAAGUUUGGUCUUGAGGUAGAGUGGAGGUAAGUUAAAAAAGAGCUAUUAAAAAUCAAAGUAGUUUACAUUUUGUUCUUUUUUUUUGCAUGCAAUAUCAUUCACUGGAGUUUGUUUUUGAAAAACAG
This 732-nucleotide long non-coding RNA is filed under the name Sus scrofa (pig). RNAcentral describes it as "lncRNA (ENSSSCG00050062868.1)". Lineage: Eukaryota; Metazoa; Chordata; Mammalia; Artiodactyla; Suidae. The record is from RNAcentral.